Callithrix jacchus (white-tufted-ear marmoset) is the source of this 103-nucleotide small nucleolar RNA. The record is from Ensembl. Lineage: Eukaryota; Metazoa; Chordata; Mammalia; Primates; Cebidae.
AUCCUUUUAUAGUUCAUCAGCAUGAUGACUGGGUUUUCACGCGCAUGUGUGAGCUGUGCUCCCUCAAACCUUGUUAUGAUGCUGGCAUAUUACCCGUCUGACG